AAAAGCAGAGUCACAGACAGCAGGAUAAAGUAGCUGCAGCUAGAUCUACAGAGACAGCAGACACCUGCUCAGGCAUCUCAUCAUCACCUCUGACCCUCAGUAAUGGCCUUCAUUUGGGCCUCUAAUCCUCCAAGUCUGAUGGCUCCAGGAUGACGAUAACACUGUCACAAGAGACCCAGCCUGAUCUGAACUGAAAGCUUCUGUGUGGUUACAGCAAAUGGAUAUGUCUAUAACUCUGUGACAUCAUCAGGAGAUCUGGAUCAAUGGACCUGAUGCUGCUUGUCAACAGUGCUGACUGUGAAAGAGGAUUCUCUGAAAUGAACAAUAUAAUAACGUCACAACAGACACAACUACAAAUCAACAAGGUCUCACCACUGAUGUUCAUUUCUUUGGUUGGGCCUCCUUUAGACCAGUGGGAUCCAGAAAAAUAUGUCAAGAAAUGGGUGCUUAAAAGAAGGUCAGCUGAUCACUUAGCCUGUCUGCAAAGUCCACUGGUGCUCACAGGACAAAUCAAUUUGAGAGUCAUUUUGAGCUGUAGGAUGAACCCCUGACCAACUAGUUGUACACCAGUGAGUAUUGCAUGGCUCUGCAAAAUGCUGUGGCAGACCUUUUGGUCCAGUGUGCCAAUCACUCUGCACAAGUCGUUAACUCUGGAUCCAGCAAAAGAGCCCCAGACCAUCACGCUUCCUCCUCCAUGCUUUUAUACAGACAGAGGGAUUGUAAGUAAUCAGCAAAAGUUGGGAGACCUGUAGGAAUUGUUUGCAUCAACUUUCAAGGCUUAAUUUACAUUCAUUGCUGCAGAAAAGCUGAGUUGUUGAUCCCUGAAAGAGGGCUUUUUUUGUGACUGAAAUUUACAUUACUUUUCAGUUUUGGUAACCUAAACUUUUGUUUUACCUCUGGAAGUUUACUGGAUACCUUUGUACAAUUCACUGGACUGUUUAAAUUUCAAUAAAAACUGGAAUGUGGGUGUCCUCUAA
Thunnus maccoyii (southern bluefin tuna) is the source of this 977-nucleotide long non-coding RNA. RefSeq lists it as uncharacterized. NCBI's taxonomy places the organism in Eukaryota, Metazoa, Chordata, Actinopteri, Scombriformes, Scombridae. The transcript is spliced from 4 exons. The record is from RefSeq and is a predicted model, not a curated record.